This 359-nucleotide ribosomal RNA is filed under the name uncultured Pelotomaculum sp. RNAcentral's name for it is "bacterial SSU rRNA". It matches the Rfam family "Bacterial small subunit ribosomal RNA", at positions 1027 to 1382 of the family's 1533-position model. The record is from RNAcentral. Lineage: Bacteria; Bacillati; Bacillota; Clostridia; Eubacteriales; Desulfotomaculaceae.
AUCGGUGACAGGUGGUGCGAUGGUUGUCGUCAGCUCGUGUCGUGAGAUGUUGGGUUAAGUCCCGCAACGAGCCGCAACCCCUACGUUUAGUUGCUAACGCGUGAAGGCGAGCACUCUAGACGAACUGCCGUUGACAAAACGGAGGAAGGUGGGAUGACGUCAAAUCAUCAUGCCCCUUAUGUUCUGGGCUACACACGUGCUACAAUGGCCGGUACAGACGGACGCAAAGCCGCGAGGUGGAGCAAAUCCUAAAAAAGCCGGUCUCAGUUCGGAUUGCAGGCUGCAAUUCGCCUGCAUGAAGUCGGAAUCGCUAGUAAUCGCAGGUCAGCAUACUGCGGUCGAAUACGUUCCCGGGCCUU